UACAGAGGGUGCGAGCGUUAUUCGGAAUUACUGGGCGUAAAGCGCGCGUAGGCGGCUUUGCAAGUCGGGUGUGAAAUCCCCAGGCUUAACCUGGGAACUGCAUUCGAGACUGCAUUGCUAGAGUAUGGGAGAGGGAAGUGGAAUUUCCGGUGUAGCGGUGAAAUGCGUAGAUAUCGGAAGGAACAUCAGUGGCGAAAGCGACUUCAUGGACCAAUACUGACGCUCAUGUGCGAAAGCGUGGGGAGCAAACAGG
This 253-nucleotide ribosomal RNA is filed under the name uncultured bacterium. Its description in RNAcentral is "partial 16S ribosomal RNA". It matches the Rfam family "Bacterial small subunit ribosomal RNA", at positions 524 to 776 of the family's 1533-position model. The record is from RNAcentral.